RNAcentral lists this unclassified non-coding RNA (712 nucleotides) under Hevea brasiliensis (rubber tree). The record is from RNAcentral. Lineage: Eukaryota; Viridiplantae; Streptophyta; Magnoliopsida; Malpighiales; Euphorbiaceae.
AUUUUCAGUGGUAGCUAUAAACAAGUCUAAAAAUGGAGUCCAAAAUUCUAUUAACAAAAAUUGGAUAAAUUUUAACAACUUUAAGAAAUUUGGCCGAUUUUGCUAAGAUUAAAGGGAUUGGAUAAAAUUGUCAAAAUGCAUUAAGUUUGGUGUUUUUUGUCAAUAGGCCAUCAAAUAAUCAAAUAAUCUAUAGGAAAGUUUUAAAGUUACAUAUUGUUUCUUUAAUUUUCAGGAAUAAAGAGUAUAUUGAAAUUUAAAAAGUAAAUUAGCAUGGUUGGUUUAGCACAUGUUAAAGUUACGUUUUGCCUAUGCCUAUGCCUAUACUGAAUUUUAAUACAAUACCCUUGACUUCAGUUUUUAGUUAGAUCCUCUGCCUUUGGUCAAUAUUUCACUUAGGGAACAAUGGCUUCUAUACCAGACAUAUAUGCCUUUAUCCACUUGGCUUGUGUGUAGUGUGUAUUGUUCUGUGAUUAUAGUUAGGUUCCAGAAAUGAAGUGUUGGUUCUUAACAUACUUGUCUUCGUUCUUCACUAACAAAUAAAGGGUUGGAAAUGGAAAUGAUUGCCUUUUCUUUUUCCCUUUUUCCAAACAGAAAUAAUAUGUAAAGAAAAGAUAUUGGUAGUGACACUGUUGUUCCUACCAAGAUGCAAGGUUGAAUUUUGUGCCAGCGGUUGCUUCACAAAAAGAGACCAAUAAACUAGAUUUCAUUUAUA